UGGGGCGCAGCAGGCGAGAAAACUUUGCAAUGUGCGAAAGCACGACAAGGUUAAUCCGAGUGGUUUCUGCUAAAGGAACCUUUUGUUAGUCCUAGAAACACUAACGAAUAAGGGGUGGGUAAGGACGGUGCCAGCCGCCGCGGUAAUACCUGCGCCUCAAGUGGUAGUCGAUUUUAUUGGGCCUAAAACGUCCGUAGCCUGUUUGGUACAUUCGUGGGUAAAUCAACCAGCUCAACUGAUUGAAUUCUGCGAGCACGGCCAGACUUGGGACCGGGAGAGGUGUGGGGUACGCUCAGGGUAGGGGUAAAAUCCUGUCAUCCUAAGCGGACCACCUGUUGCGAAGGCGCCACACUAGAACGGAUCCGACGGUCAGGGACGAAGCCUAGGGGCACGAACCGGAUUAGAUACCCGGGUAGUCCUAGGUGUAAACGCUGUGGACUUGGUGUUGGGGAUUCUCCGAGGAUUCUCAGUGCCGAAGCGAAGGUGAUAAGUCCACUGCCUGGGGAGUACGGUCGCAAGGCUGAAACUUAAAGGAAUUGGCGGGGGAGCACCGCAACCUGAGGAUUGUGCGGUUUAAUUGGAUUCAACGCCGGAAAACUCACCAGUGCCGACGGACAUAUGAAAGCCAGCGUGAUGAGCUUGCUGGAUUGUUCGAGAGGUAGUGCAUGGCCGCCGUCAGUUCGUACCGUAAGGCGUUCUGUUAAGUCAGAUAACGAACGAGACCCUCAUCCCUAUUUGCUAAGGUCAGUCCGCUGAUCACAGGACUAUAGGGAGACCGCUGGCGCGAAGUCAGAGGAAGGCGAGGGCAACGGUAGGUCAGUAUGCUCCGAAUGCACUGGGCUACACGCGCAAUACAAAGGACGGGACAAUGGGCCGCUGCGCCGAGAGGCAUGUGGCUAUCCCGAAACCCGUUCGUAGUUCGGAUUGAGGGCUGUAACUCGCCCUCAUGAAGCUGGAUUAGGUAGUAAUCGCGUCUCAAAAAGGCGCGGUGAAUAUGCCCCUGCUCCUUGCACACACCGCCCGUCAAACCAUCUUAGUUGGGGGUGGGUGAGGCUGCCUUCUAG
RNAcentral lists this ribosomal RNA (1064 nucleotides) under uncultured archaeon. Its description in RNAcentral is "bacterial SSU rRNA". It matches the Rfam family "Archaeal small subunit ribosomal RNA", at positions 326 to 1393 of the family's 1478-position model. The record is from RNAcentral.